This 937-nucleotide long non-coding RNA is filed under the name Mus caroli (Ryukyu mouse). RNAcentral describes it as "lncRNA (MGP_CAROLIEiJ_G0006013.1)". The record is from RNAcentral. Lineage: Eukaryota; Metazoa; Chordata; Mammalia; Rodentia; Muridae.
GGCUCCUGCUACCUUCUGCGGGCGGAAAGUGGGUGUCCCGGGAAGGGACGGACCCCAUCUCUACUAUGCCGCAAGCGCGUUGUGUCAACAGGCUGGCUGUGGACGGCCCGAUGAGCGUGACUUGAUUUUGUACUUUCUGCCACCUCCAAUUUUCUCAGAACGCAACAUAAGAAAAAGAACUAACAGCGGUGUGUACAGGAUUGCUUCGAAGAUAUGGGUGCUGAUGUUUGGUCAUUGCUAUGGGGGAGGUCGCAGAGCUGAGAGUUUCGGAGGACGCUUUCUGUCUUGUCUAGCUGUUCAACCCAGGGUCCAGACUUUUCAAGGGCUACUCUGUUAGUCCGAACUACUCACUGCUGACACUUGGCACCUAGUCUUCACUCUGGGACCCCAGAGACAUUCUUCCCUGCUGUGACUAUGCAUGGGGAGGUGUGUCCACUGCCCGGUAUUUCAGCUUCACAAGAGGUCCCACAGGCGUCUCUCACUUGAAGGACAAGGGCCAGGGAGACCAUGUCAAUGGGAGUUACCUGUAAGGUCACGUGCUGCUGCUUCUGGUUCACUCUCUGACCUCUCCUGAAGAAGCCAAGCUGCAGAGAUGAGCUACAAAGGACAUUCUCAGAGCUGUCAAAAAGGAUCAGAGGAGAAAGGCUUCAAAGAAGACUCCGAGACCAGACCAGCUGUUUGGAAAAAACAGAAGCCAGCUGAGCUGUCUGGAAGAAGUUUAGAUCAACUGAGGCACCUGGAAAGGACAAUCCAUCUCCAACCUGCUGAGCCUCAUGAGUGCUGUGCGUUCCAGGCACCCAGCUUUGUGAGCUGUGGCCCAUGCUGGGGUAGGCUUUGGUGAUACUGCUGGUUUUGAGUCUUUUCUACUCCUGUAAGUAAUUCUUCAUCCAUACUCUUGUGAGUAACCCCAAUAAAACUCAUUGGUCCACCAAACUAG